UUUUUAUAUCGAAUCAGAACAUUUCAACUAUAUAGAAUAUUCAUCGCAUUUGAAGAAAUACAAAAUAAAAUAACCUGACAUUCCAUCUUGAAAUCACAAAAUACAUACGUAGGAUGAAGAUAAAUAAUCGAUAUCCGCGGCGAUUUAUGUGGGAUAUCAUCCUGUGACCACAUAAAACUUAUUAUUUAUUAUGUAACAAAUUGUGAGUAAUUCAAGUAAAAAAAAUCGUGACUACCUCAGUGUCUUCAGAGUCAGUAGUAAUAUUUGUUGGAGUUUUUGGAAACAUGGACUGCCCCAUUUUUGCCAUUCGCGAUAUGAUAGAAGCUUUAUCGCUCGUUGUUUUAUGCACCAACCUGUUGCUUUGAUGAAGAAUGACUAUCUACCGAUUUAACUUGGGUCCCAAAAAUAGCAGCCAAGUUGGAUCUAAGAAGAAUUUGUAUGCUGAUUUUAAUAAAAGUACUUAUAUUCCUCAGCUUCUUCGAUAAAAAUAAAUUCAAGAUAUGGAAAGGAACAAAACAAAACGAUAUUUCAGGAAGAAAUCAAAAAUUUGACAGCAUAACCUUUAUGUCAUGUUACUUGAUUACAUUGUUUAGAAAUGACUAGUGACGUAAACAAACACAAGUGUAGAAUAUUCUUCUGUCCUGUCAGACUGUAAAUAAUCCGUGUUGAUGAAAUAAAAACAAAAG
Molecule: long non-coding RNA, 686 nt
Organism: Hylaeus volcanicus
Lineage: Eukaryota; Metazoa; Arthropoda; Insecta; Hymenoptera; Colletidae
Exons: 3
Source: RefSeq, a predicted model, not a curated record